This 25-nucleotide transfer RNA is filed under the name Echymipera clara (Clara's echymipera). RNAcentral describes it as "partial tRNA-Pro". The record is from RNAcentral. Lineage: Eukaryota; Metazoa; Chordata; Mammalia; Peramelemorphia; Peroryctidae.
CGAGGCUAAUAAGCCUUCUUCUUGA